RNAcentral lists this transfer RNA (73 nucleotides) under Camelus ferus (Wild Bactrian camel). It matches the Rfam family "tRNA". Rfam says of the family: Transfer RNA (tRNA) molecules are approximately 80 nucleotides in length. The record is from Rfam by way of RNAcentral. Lineage: Eukaryota; Metazoa; Chordata; Mammalia; Artiodactyla; Camelidae.
GAGGGUGUAGCUCAAGUGGCAGAGCGCAUGCUUAGCAUGCACAAGGUCCUGGGUUCAAUCCCCAGUAUCUCCU